Molecule: long non-coding RNA, 1607 nt
Filed under: Homo sapiens (human)
Lineage: Eukaryota; Metazoa; Chordata; Mammalia; Primates; Hominidae
Description: non-protein coding MMP25-AS1:2
Source: RNAcentral
UGAGUUUCAUGGCCAUCUCUAACUAAGGACAGGACAUCGAUGUCAUCUGUAACUUCCGGUGCACUGGGGCACACAGCUGCAUCUCCCCAUGCUCACCUCCUGCCUCUUGCUCUGCCCAGUGUGAGGACUCAGCCUGGAUCACCUCCUCCAGGACAAGAACAACCUACCAUCAUCUGUCCGUCCAAUCUACCCACCCAUCCAUCUCUGCCUCUGGCCAUGCAUCCGUCCGUCCAUCCAUCCCCGCCUCUGUGCAUGCAUCUGUCCAUCCAUCCCCGCCUCUGUGCAUGCAUCUGUGCAUCCAUCCAUCCCUGCCUCUGUGCAUGCAUCUGUCCAUCCAUCCCCGCCUCUGUGCAUGCAUCUGUCCAUCCAUCCCCACCUCUGUGCAUGCAUCUGUCCGUACAUCCAUCCCUGCCUCUGUGCAUGCAUCUGUCCAUUCAUCCCUGCCUCUGUGCAUGCAUCUGUCCAUCCAUCCAUCCCCGCCUCUGUGCAUGCAUCUGUCCAUCCAUCCCUGCCUCUGUGCAUGCAUCUGUCCAUUCAUCCCUGCCUCUGUGCAUGCAUCUGUCCAUCCAUCCAUCCCUGCCUCUGUGCAUGCAUCUGUCCAUUCAUCCCUGCCUCUGUGCAUGCAUCUGUCCAUCCAUCCAUCCCUGCCUCUGUGCAUGCAUCUGUCCAUUCAUCCCUGCCUCUGUGUAUGCAUCUGUCCAUCCAUCCAUCCCCACCUCUGUGCAUGCAUCUGUCCAUCCAUCCCCGCCUCUGUGCAUGCAUCUGUCCGUCCAUCCAUCCCUGCCUCUGUGCAUGCAUCUGUCCGUCCAUUCAUCCCUGCCUCUGUGCAUGCAUCUGUCCAUUCAUCCAUCCCUGACUCUGUGCAUGCAUCUGUCCAUCCAUCCAUCCUUGCCUCUAUGCAUGCAUUUGUCCGUCCAUCCAUCCCUGCCUCUGUGCAUGCAUCCAUACCUGCCUCUGUGCAUGCAUCUGUCAGUCUAUCAAUCCCCGAUCCCUUCUUUGUAAUGGUGUUGAGCGCUCACAACUCCCUCAUCCUAAGACGCUCGUUGGAUCCAUUCCCUCCCCUCACCCCAUGCUGCUCUCUGCCCUCCCUUCCCGGUCAAGUUCUCCAGCCAGUGGUCUCAACUCAAUCUUCACUUCCCCCGCUCCUCUCACACCUAUCCCCACUGCAUUCUAAAUUCUUCCCCAACGCGCUGGGCCUACAGGCACUAAAAAGGUCACUUUGUCCCUGGAUGACCAAACACAGGCCAAUGUAACUUACUGGGCUUGUUUUGCCCCAGCCACAGCUGACCACUUCCUCCUUCACUCUUGUUGUUGAUCACCUUUGGGCUUAGUCUUUCUCCAUCUCUGUUGAGUCCUUCUCCCCUGCCACCUACUCCUUCAUGCUGGGGUUCUCUGUAGCUCUGUACCUGACAGUCACGUUCCACCCUUUCCUCCCAGAAGCUCGCCAACCCCCGUGGACUGCUGGCUCUCAAGGCGGCCGCUAGCCCAGCUCCGACAGCAGCUGACAAUGCACAGUAUGCGGCCCAGGGCAGGCCCUGUGCUGAGAGGCAUGGGUGAAUGGCUCAUUUCAUCGGCAAGCCCACGCCACCAGCAGGCGCCGUUCUCCU